This 400-nucleotide unclassified non-coding RNA is filed under the name soil metagenome. Its description in RNAcentral is "partial contains 5.8S ribosomal RNA, internal transcribed spacer 2, and large subunit ribosomal RNA". The stretch from base 1 to 122 matches the Rfam family "5.8S ribosomal RNA", at positions 35 to 154 of the family's 154-position model. The record is from RNAcentral.
GAUGAAGAACGUAGCGAAAUGCGAUACUUGGUGUGAAUUGCAGAAUCCCGUGAACCAUCGAGUGUUUGAACGCAAGUUGCGCCUCAAGCCAUUAGGUUGAGGGCACGUCUGCCUGGGCGUCACAUAUCGUUGCCUGAUGCCAGUUUCCUCGUGAUGGGUGACUGUGCAGGGCGAAUGAUGGCUUCCCGUGAGCAUUGUUGCCUCAUGGUUGGUUGAAAAUUGAGUCCUUGGUAGGGAGCGCCGUGAUAGAUGGUGGUUGAGUGACGAACGAGACCCAAUCAUGUGAGACCCGUACCGAAUUUGGCCUUCAUGACCCACAUGCGUCUUUGGAACGCUCAUGACGAGACCUCAGGUCAGGCGGGGCUACCCGCUGAGUUUAAGCAUAUCAAUAAGCGGAGGA